RNAcentral lists this ribosomal RNA (468 nucleotides) under uncultured bacterium. RNAcentral describes it as "partial 16S ribosomal RNA". It matches the Rfam family "Bacterial small subunit ribosomal RNA", at positions 28 to 507 of the family's 1533-position model. The record is from RNAcentral.
GAUGAACGCUGGCGGCGUGCUUAAUACAUGCAAGUCGAACGGACAGGCCCUGAUCUUGUGGGGUGCUCGUGUGCCGCACGGGUGAGUAACACGCGAGUAUCCCGCCCUUGACUUUGGGAUAACUCUUGGAGACUGGGGCUCAUAUCGGAUAGGAGCUCUUGCUGCAUGGUGGGGGAUGGUAAGUUUCGGCGGUUGGGGAUGGUCUCGCGGCUUAUCAGCUUGUUGGUGUGGUAGUGGAUUACCAAGCUUUUGACGGGUAGUCGGCCUGAGAGGGUGACCGGGCACAAUGGGACUGAGAUACGGCCCAGACGCCAACGGGAGGCAGCAGGGGGGAAUAUGGCACAACGGGCGGAAGCCUGAGGCAGCAACGCCGCGUGCGGAAAGACGGCCUUCGAGGUGUAAACCACUGUCGCCGUUAACAAGGCGGGAGUGACGGUAAUGGGUAAAGAAGCACCGGCUAACUACGUG